This 345-nucleotide ribosomal RNA is filed under the name Pachybrachis azureus. RNAcentral's name for it is "partial 16S large subunit ribosomal RNA". The record is from RNAcentral. Lineage: Eukaryota; Metazoa; Arthropoda; Insecta; Coleoptera; Chrysomelidae.
UUAGUUUUUUAAUUGAAAACUGGAAUGAAAGGUUUGAUGAGAAAAUAGCUGUCUCUUUAUUUUAUAUAGAAUUUUAUUUUUGAGUUAAAAAGCUCAAAUUUUCUUGAGGGACGAGAAGACCCUAUAGAGUUUCAGGAUUAAUUUAUUUAAAGAAGAAUUGCUUAUUAUAUAAUUUAUUUAUUUAAUCUUUUGAUUGGGGUGAUUGAAAAAUUAAUUGAACUUUUUCUUGGAUAAACAUUAAUUAAUGGCUAAAUUGAUCCUGUAAAACUGAUUAAAAGAAAUAAUUACCUUAGGGAUAACAGCGUAAUCUUUUUUUAGAGCUCUAAUCGAGAAAAGGGGUUGCGA